AUACCGUUUACAACCGUUCCGUGUAGGCCGUUUAGACCGUUUUCUCCGUUUUUUGACCGUUUAAACGGUCAACCGUUUAAUUUCCCAUUUACCCCCUAAACAAAACAGUUUGCCACCGUUUACCGUUUAAUGACCGUUUAAUCGGCCGUUUAGGCCGUUUAGGCGAACACUGCUCAUGAUAAGCUCUCUCAUGGAAAUGAUGAAUAGUUGCUCUGCCAUGACUAGUUCUUAAAAUUGAAAUCUCUCUCAAGUUUAGGCAUGACUGUUAAGAAGUACGAUUUGCUCUAAACCUGAACUUGUGAGAAGAGUACUCGAUCUAAAGUCUAAGUCGUUAACGGAUAUGAUAUGGGAAGGUUGAGCUGCUGUUUAUCUGUUCCUAGAGAUGCUAGAAUUCUGGAGAAUUUUAUCUUUAAAAAUAUUUAAAAUAUCACAUGAUGAGUUCCUAUAUGAUGAGAGUUUAAAUUCCUACCACAGCCAUAUAUACAUGCUUGCUAGACUUUGAGCCACAUAUUUACUUUUUACUGCUUAUGAGCAUUGAGUGUGGUCAAGCUGUGUAGACCCUUAGGAGCUUGUCAUGUGGUUAAAAUCAAGAUUCACUUGCACGUUCACUCAUACAUGCUACUUCUACUCCGGAAGUACCAUCCACAUAUAUCUACUCAUUUCCAUCUCCACAUUCAUUCGAAAUUAUUCUACUCCUAAUCCGGAGAGAAUAGCCAAAAAUAUUUUCCUAUCCCUGUUAUUCCCUGUGAAAUAAAUGCUCAAGUUAUCUUGUUUACUACCAAUUGCUAUAUUAUUUAAGGAGAUGAGUGCUCUAAAAAAAAGAGAAAGAGAAAAUAAUAUACGAGGAAAUAAAAAGGGGCAAGUGCCCGGAACCUCGAAAGAAAAGAAAAAGUGAGACGAGAGGUAAAAAUGGACAAGUGUCCGAUAGUAGAAUUAGGGGUACAAGAUACCCACCUGAGAAAAUAAAAGAGAAACUAUAGAGCAUCUCAUUCUCCCCAAAAAGCUUCAAAAUGCAAGAAAGGUAUGUAUCAUCUCAAAAGAGCAAAAGUAGAAUUAGACUUUCACCACUUCUAUCACCUUUAUCACCAUACGCCAUUCAUUUGCCACACAUGCACAUCUUGAUUUGACUUAUUGACUUGUUUCUCUAGAUCCAUGGUUUGACUAUGCAAUAAAUGUCUUGUAAGUAUGUAUUAGCUGUCUCCCACCUAUGAGCUCCAGAUAUCAGAACCUUAUUAGAGUAGGGUGAGAGAUAAGGCAAUAUCACUAUGCCUCAUACCAAAAAUACCACAUACUUUGAGAGAAGGCAUGUACCAUUACUAACUUGGUAAGGAUCCAGAACUACCACAAAAGAGAGAUCUGAGAGAGUCAUAUAAGGAAUCUCUGAGUUUUAUUUGAAAAUCUGCAAAAACCCCAGAGCUAUAGCUGACCA
This 1429-nucleotide long non-coding RNA is filed under the name Sorghum bicolor (sorghum). RNAcentral describes it as "long non-coding RNA (SBIC_LNC018774)". Lineage: Eukaryota; Viridiplantae; Streptophyta; Magnoliopsida; Poales; Poaceae. The record is from RNAcentral.